CCGGCUUUGGUAUCGAACCUGUGUAAAAGUUGUCCACAUCAAACUUCUUGAGAAAUUUUUUGUCUUAGGGUCACAAUGUGAUUUUGCUAUAUGGCAAAAGACAGGUGAAUUUCAUUCUAAGAAUCUGAANAACGAUAGACCAUAGUAUACAUACUCGGGAAAUCUGAGAUGUAAAUUUAAAUUGAUCUUCCUCAACUUGUACAAAUUCCUAAUAGUCAUAUGCAAUUUUGUACAGGAUCAAUAAUU
Molecule: unclassified non-coding RNA, 246 nt
Filed under: Hevea brasiliensis (rubber tree)
Lineage: Eukaryota; Viridiplantae; Streptophyta; Magnoliopsida; Malpighiales; Euphorbiaceae
Source: RNAcentral